UACGUAGGGACCAAGCGUUGUUCGGAUUUACUGGGCGUAAAGGGCGCGUAGGCGGCGUGACAAGUCACUUGUGAAAUCUCCGGGCUUAACUCGGAACGGUCAAGUGAUACUGUCGUGCUAGAGUGCAGAAGGGGCAAUCGGAAUUCUUGGUGUAGCGGUGAAAUGCGUAGAUAUCGAGAGGAACACCUGCGGCGAAGGCGGGUAGCUGGGCCGACACUGACGCUGAGGCGCGAAAGCCAGGGGAGCGAACGGG
RNAcentral lists this ribosomal RNA (253 nucleotides) under uncultured bacterium. RNAcentral describes it as "partial 16S ribosomal RNA". It matches the Rfam family "Bacterial small subunit ribosomal RNA", at positions 524 to 776 of the family's 1533-position model. The record is from RNAcentral.